GGAGGGCCAACCCGACGGAUGGCGACGGGAACUGUCUUGAAAACAGCCGAGGCGCAAGCCCUUGGGAGUUCGAUCCUCCCGCCCUCCGC
This 89-nucleotide transfer RNA is filed under the name Mycobacteroides abscessus subsp. abscessus. RNAcentral describes it as "tRNA-Ser(tga)". Lineage: Bacteria; Bacillati; Actinomycetota; Actinomycetes; Mycobacteriales; Mycobacteriaceae. RNAcentral also lists the same sequence under 2 other names. The record is from RNAcentral.